GACGAACGCUGGCGGCGUGCUUAACACAUGCAAGUCGAACGGAAAGGCCCUGCAUUUGUGGGGUGCUCGAGUGGCGAACGGGUGAGUAACACGUGAGUAACCUGCCCUUGACUUUGGGAUAACUUCAGGAAACUGGGGCUAAUACCGGAUAGGAGCUCCUGCUGCAUGGUGGGGGUUGGAAAGUUUCGGCGGUUGGGGAUGGACUCGCGGCUUAUCAGCUUGUUGGUGGGGUAGUGGCUUACCAAGGCUUUGACGGGUAGCCGGCCUGAGAGGGUGACCGGCCACAUUGGGACUGAGAUACGGCCCAGACGCCUACGGGAGGCAGCAGUGGGGAAUAUUGCACAAUGGGCGGAAGCCUGAUGCAGCAACGCCGCGUGCGGGAUGACGGCCUUCGGGUUGUAAACCGCUUUCGCCUGUGACGAAGCGUGAGUGACGGUAAUGGGUAAAGAAGCACCGGCUAACUACGUG
This 468-nucleotide ribosomal RNA is filed under the name uncultured bacterium. Its description in RNAcentral is "partial 16S ribosomal RNA". It matches the Rfam family "Bacterial small subunit ribosomal RNA", at positions 28 to 507 of the family's 1533-position model. The record is from RNAcentral.